Molecule: ribosomal RNA, 492 nt
Filed under: uncultured bacterium
Lineage: Bacteria
Description: partial 16S ribosomal RNA
Rfam family: Bacterial small subunit ribosomal RNA
Source: RNAcentral
AGUGAACGCUGGCGGUAGGCCUAACACAUGCAAGUCGAACGGCAGCACAGUAAGAGCUUGCUCUUACGGGUGGCGAGUGGCGGACGGGUGAGGAAUACAUCGGAAUCUACUUUUUCGUGGGGGAUAACGUAGGGAAACUUACGCUAACACCGCAUACGACCUACGGGUGAAAGCAGGGGAUCUUCGGACCUUGCGCGAUUGAAUGAGCCGAUGUCGGAUUAGCUAGUUGGCGGGGUAAAGGCCCACCAAGGCGACGAUCCGUAGCUGGUCUGAGAGGAUGAUCAGCCACACUGGAACUGAGACACGGUCCAGACUCCUACGGGAGGCAGCAGUGGGGAAUAUUGGACAAUGGGCGCAAGCCUGAUCCAGCCAUACCGCGUGGGUGAAGAAGGCCUUCGGGUUGUAAAGCCCUUUUGUUGGGAAAGAAAAGCAGCAGGUUAAUACCCCACUGUUCUGACGGUACCCAAAGAAUAAGCACCGGCUAACUUCGUG